RNAcentral lists this ribosomal RNA (497 nucleotides) under uncultured bacterium. RNAcentral's name for it is "partial 16S ribosomal RNA". It matches the Rfam family "Bacterial small subunit ribosomal RNA", at positions 28 to 507 of the family's 1533-position model. The record is from RNAcentral.
GAUGAACGCUGGCGGCGUGCCUAAUACAUGCAAGUCGAGCGAACAGAUGAGGAGCUUGCUCCUCUGACGUUAGCGGCGGACGGGUGAGUAACACGUGGAUAACCUACCUAUAAGACUGGGAUAACUUCGGGAAACCGGAGCUAAUACCGGAUAAUAUAUUGAACCGCAUGGUUCAAUAGUGAAAGACGGUUUUGCUGUCACUUAUAGAUGGAUCCGCGCCGCAUUAGCUAGUUGGUAAGGUAACGGCUUACCAAGGCAACGAUGCGUAGCCGACCUGAGAGGGUGAUCGGCCACACUGGAACUGAGACACGUUCCAGACUCCGACGGGAGGCAGCAGUAGGGAAUCUUCCGCAAUGGGCGAAAGCCUGACGGAGCAACGCCGCGUGAGUGAUGAAGGUCUUCGGAUCGUAAAACUAUGUUAUUAGGGAAGAACAAAUGUGUAAGUACCUAUGCACGUCUUGACGGUACCGAAUCAGAAAGCCACGGCUAACUCCGUG